Molecule: unclassified non-coding RNA, 358 nt
Filed under: soil metagenome
Description: partial contains 5.8S ribosomal RNA, internal transcribed spacer 2, and large subunit ribosomal RNA
Rfam family: 5.8S ribosomal RNA (bases 1-120)
Source: RNAcentral
GAUGAAGAACGUAGCGAAAUGCGAUAAGUAAUGUGAAUUGCAGAAUUCAGUGAAUCAUCGGAUCUUUGAACGCACAUUGCGCCCGCCAGUAUUCUGGCGGGCAUGCCUGUCCGAGCGUCAUUUCAACCCUCGAACCCCUCCGGGGGGUCGGCGUUGGGGACCUCGGGAGCCCCUAAGACGGGAUCCCGGCCCCGAAAUACAGUGGCGGUCUCGCCGCAGCCUCUCCUGCGCAGUAGUUUGCACAACUCGCACCGGGAGCGCGGCGCGUCCACGUCCGUAAAACACCCAACUUCUGAAAUGUUGACCUCGGAUCAGGUAGGAAUACCCGCUGAACUUAAGCAUAUCAAUAAGCGGAGGA